RNAcentral lists this transfer RNA (53 nucleotides) under Duttaphrynus melanostictus (Asian common toad). Its description in RNAcentral is "partial tRNA-Gly". Lineage: Eukaryota; Metazoa; Chordata; Amphibia; Anura; Bufonidae. The record is from RNAcentral.
AGUACUAAUGACUUCCAAUCAUUAAGCCUUGGUUAAACCCCCAAGAGAAAAUA